GCGAGAAACCUCAGCAAUACACGAAAGUGUGACUGGGUUACCCAAAGUGUUCAGUUUUGAACUGUGGUAGGUGAGCAAUGUCCCCUACUAGAAAGGAGAGGGCAAGGCUGGUGCCAGCCGCCGCGGUAAAACCAGCUCUUCAAGUGGUCGGGAUAAUUAUUGGGCUUAAAGUGUCCGUAGCCUGUUUAGUAAGUUCCUGGUAAAAUCGGGUAGCUUAACUAUCUGUAUGCUAGGAAUACUGCUAAACUAGAGGGCGGGAGAGGUCUGAGGUACUACAGGGGUAGGG
RNAcentral lists this ribosomal RNA (286 nucleotides) under uncultured archaeon. Its description in RNAcentral is "partial 16S ribosomal RNA". It matches the Rfam family "Archaeal small subunit ribosomal RNA", at positions 339 to 631 of the family's 1478-position model. The record is from RNAcentral.